CCUACGGGUGGCUGCAGUCGAGAAUCAUUCACAAUGGGGGAAACCCUGAUGGGGCGACGCCGCGUGGGGGAAUGAAGGUCUUCGGAUUGUAAACCCCUGUCAUGUGGGAGCAAAUUAAAAAGAUAGUACCACAAGAGGAAGAGACGGCUAACUCUGUGCCAGCAGCCGCGGUAAUACAGAGGUCUCAAGCGUUGUUCGGAAUCACUGGGCGUAAGGCGUGCGUAGGCUGUUUCGUAAGUCGUGUGUGAAAGGCGCGGGCUCAACCCGCGGACGGCACAUGAUACUGCGAGACUAGAGUAAUGGAGGGGGAACCGGAAUUCUCGGUGUAGCAGUGAAAUGCGUAGAUAUCGAGAGGAACACUCGUGGCGAAGGCGGGUUCCUGGACAUUAACUGACGCUGAGGCACGAAGGCCAGGGGAGCGAAAGGGAUUAGAUACCCGAGUAGUC
RNAcentral lists this ribosomal RNA (446 nucleotides) under uncultured bacterium. RNAcentral's name for it is "partial 16S ribosomal RNA". It matches the Rfam family "Bacterial small subunit ribosomal RNA", at positions 338 to 795 of the family's 1533-position model. The record is from RNAcentral.